This is a regulatory RNA element of Agrobacterium albertimagni AOL15, 56 nucleotides long. It matches the Rfam family "terC RNA". NCBI's taxonomy places the organism in Bacteria, Pseudomonadati, Pseudomonadota, Alphaproteobacteria, Hyphomicrobiales, Rhizobiaceae. The record is from Rfam.
CCCGCGGACCGGGCCCCUCUGACGACGGAUUAUCCUCGUGAUGUCGGACCGCAUCG